This 765-nucleotide long non-coding RNA is filed under the name Musa acuminata (dwarf banana). RNAcentral describes it as "long non-coding RNA (MACU_LNC005887)". The record is from RNAcentral. Lineage: Eukaryota; Viridiplantae; Streptophyta; Magnoliopsida; Zingiberales; Musaceae.
CAGGACCUCGUUCCAGAGAGCCCACAGGUAGACCUCCCCGUCCCCCUUCAUGCCUCUUCAUCCAUUUCCUGCAAGAACUCCGACACCAGGCCGAAUCCCGCCGGUAGUCACAGGGGGAAGGAGGCAACGGCACUCAGCUCCCCUGUCCAAGAUGAGAUUUUUAGCUUCGAGCAUAGAACAGAGUCGGGUGCGACGCUGGAUGAUGGCAGAACAGAGUCGAAUGGUCAAUGGGGGAAGCACUGGUGGUGGAAGCAGGAAGGCAGCGGGGAAUUGAGCAGCAAAGACUAUGUCAGGGAGUGGAUCGGGACCCAAAUUUGCCCCUCAGGCAAUCCCGAUUGGGAAGACGAGAAGAGGAUUUCUCCCGAGAAGUGUUUUGAUUUCAGGAACUCAAGCCGGGUGGAGAAUCUGGACGUCGGGGACGACACCCUCUUCGGCGACGCCCGUGAUAAGAACACAGAGAAGAAACAGGGGAGGAAGAAAGGCAUUCUCGCCAGUGACAGGAAGGACAGGAAGAUGAGGGAGUGGUGGAAGGAGGAGUACUUCGCAGAAAUCAGCAAGAAGAGUCAUCACAAGAAAGAGAGGAAGUGGUUCCGAACAAUUAGUAGCCGAGAGCAUACCGGUAGCGCCGUCGACGACGAUGCUCGACGCGGCCGAGAUCUGAACGUGGACAUAAGCUUCAGGAAGGGCUGGAAGAAGAAGAGGAGCCGAUCGGCUGGCAGCGACAUGUUCAGCGGCGACAUGUUCAGCAGGGAGCUCAGUAGCACG